This 498-nucleotide ribosomal RNA is filed under the name uncultured bacterium. Its description in RNAcentral is "bacterial SSU rRNA". It matches the Rfam family "Bacterial small subunit ribosomal RNA", at positions 8 to 507 of the family's 1533-position model. The record is from RNAcentral.
AGAGUUUGAUCAUGGCUCAGGAUGAACGCUAGCGGGAGGCCUAACACGUGCAAGCCGAGCGGUAGAGAUUCUUCGGAAUCUUGAGAGCGGCGUACGGGUGCGGAACACGUGUGCAACCUACCUUUAUCUGGAGGAUAGCCUUUCGAAAGGAAGAUUAAUACUCCAUAAUAUAUUGAUUGGCAUCAAUUGAUAUUGAAAGCUCCGGCGGAUAGAGAUGGGCACGCGCAAGAUUAGUUAGUUGGUGAGGUAACGGCUCACCAAGACGAUGAUCUUUAGGGGCCUGAGAGGGUGAUCCCCCACACUGGUACUGAGACACGGACCAGACUCCUACGGGAGGCAGCAGUGAGGAAUAUUGGUCAAUGGGUGCAAGCCUGAACCAGCCAUCCCGCGUGAAGGACGACUGCCCUAUGGGUUGUAAACUUCUUUUGUAUAGGGAUAAACCUACCCUCGUGAGGGUAGCUGAAGGUACUAUACGAAUAAGCACCGGCUAACUCCGUG